This 397-nucleotide long non-coding RNA is filed under the name Arachis ipaensis. RNAcentral describes it as "long non-coding RNA (AIPA_LNC002316)". The record is from RNAcentral. Lineage: Eukaryota; Viridiplantae; Streptophyta; Magnoliopsida; Fabales; Fabaceae.
UGAUGAAUGAUGAAUGAAUUAUUUAUGUGGCUUAUGAAUUUGAAAUAUCUGAGAUACGAGGUUCCCUGGAUUAAGUGUCGUGGCUUGCCACCACGUGUACCAGGUUGAAAACUCGAUACUCUGUUGACCCUACGACGUAAGUGUGACCGGGCACUAUAUAAAUUCCUGGAAAUGAUACCCCCAUUGAGUAAUAUUGAUUAUUUGAGAAAAAGCUAUGCAUAGACUCUUGGGGAUGCACGUCGGGGGACGGUCUAAGGACAAUUCAGACUUGUCGGGUUGGCUGGAUAACCGACAGAUGAGCCUCAUCAGCCAUAGGACAGGCAUGCAUCAUAUGCAUUUGUAUGCUUUGCUUGGGUUUGAACUUGUUUUGGUUUGCCUAAUUGCUAAACUGUUCUUA